This 239-nucleotide long non-coding RNA is filed under the name Lathyrus oleraceus (garden pea). RNAcentral's name for it is "Pisum sativum (pea) long non-coding RNA (PSAT_LNC020394)". The record is from RNAcentral. Lineage: Eukaryota; Viridiplantae; Streptophyta; Magnoliopsida; Fabales; Fabaceae.
GAAAAGUUGGUAAAAAUGAGGUAUGGUGCCCAAAAGUGGCACCUGCUACUUAUAGACAAGUGCAGAACUGUCAUGUUCGCUAGGCGAGCAUAAUAGCUCGCCUAGCGAGGUCCUAAAAUGGGCACAAAAAGCCCCUGCGCCCAGAGCAAACAGGGCCUGCUAAACUGUCAUGUUCGCCUAGCGAACAUACCUUCGCCUAGCGAAGGAAACGCUUCAAGCUCGCCCCCAGCGAGGUUGAG